AAGGAGAAUUGCCCUGCCAUUCGAUUCCACAGUUACUUGAAUGUGUCUAUUGCUCUUCAUGAAUAUCAUUAUGAUAUGAUAUCUCUUGCAAUUAUUUUUGGGUCAGAUUUUUAAUCUCCCUUGCAUAAAAAUAAUAUUUUAUUUUACUUUUUAGCAGGUAAUUUUGCCAAUGAGGUCCCAUUAAUAAUCAGCAAUGUAAGAAAAAUGCAGUAUGAAUCGAUGAGGGCUAGCACUAUCCGAUCAACUGGAAUAAAGGCUGCACAAGCUAUUAAUGUAAUGUUGUUUUGUUCUCUCAUUUUCUUGGGUUAUUUGCGUUGGAUAUGCUCCUGUUCUAGACUUGACCAUAUUUACAUCUUUAUCUUGUUCGCAUGCGCAUCAGCAGUUCUUGAGAAAGAGUUGACAUUCAGUGUGCUCUCUUCAACUAUAGGCACUGGAGACUGGAUAGAACCAUACACAGCCAGCUAAUGCUUUGGUACUGCCGGUGAUGAUUUCAUAGCUAGCUUAUCUACAGCUAUAUCUAUCUUACCAUUGAAACAAGCUCUUCAAAUUAAGGGAUAGUCAAAUCACAAAUGCGGACGUAGUUCUUGCUCAUAUUUCUUUGAGAUUUUACAGUGAUUGUACUGUUAUUGAAUAUUUAAUUUCCAGAUUCUUUUUAUAAUAAUUUUGUAUAUAGUUUUAUAAGUUAGCUAUUAAUAUCGUCUGUGUAUAUAUAUAUGUUGUACUUUUCUCACUCUCUCAAUAAAAAAAAUCAGCAAAAUAUUUUCUUCAUAUUUAUAAA
This 778-nucleotide long non-coding RNA is filed under the name Populus trichocarpa (black cottonwood). Its description in RNAcentral is "long non-coding RNA (PTRI_LNC001157)". The record is from RNAcentral. Lineage: Eukaryota; Viridiplantae; Streptophyta; Magnoliopsida; Malpighiales; Salicaceae.